AUUGAACGCUGGCGGCAGGCUUAACACAUGCAAGUCGAGCGGGGUGAUGGUGCUUGCACUAUCACUUAGCGGCGGACGGGUGGGUAAGGUUUAGGAAUCUGCCUAUUAGUGGGGGACACCAUCUCGAACGGGAUGCUAAUACCCAAUACGUCCGAGGGAAGAAAGCAGGGGUUCACUUUUGACAUGGCGCUAAUAGAUGAGCCAAAGUCGGAUUAGCUAGUUGGUGGGGUAAAGGCCUACCAAGGCGACGAUCUGUAGCGGGUUUGAGAGGAUGAUCCGCCACACUGGGACUGAGACACGGCCCAGACUCCUACGGGAGGCAGCAGUGGGGAAUAUUGGACAAUGGGGGGAACCCUGAUCCAGCCAUGCCGCGUGUGUGAAGAAGGCCUUAUGGUUGUAAAGCACUUUAAGCGAGGAGGAGGCUCUUUUGGUUAAUACCCAAGAUAAGUGGACGUUACUCGCAGAAUAAGCACCGGCUAACUCUGUGCCAGCCGCCGCGGUAA
This 503-nucleotide ribosomal RNA is filed under the name uncultured bacterium. RNAcentral describes it as "partial 16S ribosomal RNA". It matches the Rfam family "Bacterial small subunit ribosomal RNA", at positions 30 to 523 of the family's 1533-position model. The record is from RNAcentral.